RNAcentral lists this ribosomal RNA (775 nucleotides) under uncultured Neocallimastigales. Its description in RNAcentral is "partial large subunit ribosomal RNA". It matches the Rfam family "Eukaryotic large subunit ribosomal RNA", at positions 23 to 644 of the family's 3401-position model. The record is from RNAcentral. Lineage: Eukaryota; Fungi; Neocallimastigomycota; Neocallimastigomycetes; Neocallimastigales.
GAGAGAGACAUGCGCGCAUAUCAAUAAGCGGAGGAAAAGAAACUAACAAGGAUUCCCCUAGUAACGGCGAGUGAAGCGGGAAGAGCUCAAAUUUGAAAUCUUAAAGGGUUUCCCUUUAUGAAUUGUAGUUUAAAGAAGUGUUUUCUGUUGGAGUUUCGGUAAAAGUUCUUUGGAAUAGGACAUCAUAGAGGGUGAGAAUCCCGUAUUUGACCGUUACUUUCCAGCUGUGUGAUACACUUUCAAAGAGUCGGAUUGUUUGGGAAUGCAGUCCAAGAUGGGUGGUAAAUUUCAUCUAAAGCUAAAUAUUGGCGAGAGACCGAUAGCGAACAAGUACCGUGAGGGAAAGAUGAAAAGAACUUUGAAAAGAGGAGUUAAACAGUACGUGAAGUUGUCAAAAGGGAAGCGUUUGACACCAGUGUUGUUUAGUUGAAAAUCAAUUCAAUAGUUUUUGAUUCUAAGUAGUAUUGACUUCAUCAGCUUGCUGCUUUCUUCUCAGAAAUUAUUGAAUGCACUUUUCAGUUAACGAGUCAACAUCAAUUUCUUUUGUUGUAAAAGGGUAAGAGGAAGGUGGCUUGCGCUUCGGCUCAAGUGUUUAUAGCCUUUUAUCUCUGCAAUCGGAGAGAUUGAGGUCUGCAGCGUAGAUCCUUCGGGGUUAGAUACAUUGGUGCUAAGCUAUAGCCUUGUAUAGACAACUUGUUGACUAUGCUCAGUCAUGUAGCUUACUCGCUGAUGCUAUUUUACCUACGCUUAGGAUGUUGAUAGUCACAGCGUGUAC